RNAcentral lists this ribosomal RNA (492 nucleotides) under uncultured bacterium. Its description in RNAcentral is "partial 16S ribosomal RNA". It matches the Rfam family "Bacterial small subunit ribosomal RNA", at positions 29 to 507 of the family's 1533-position model. The record is from RNAcentral.
AGUGAACGCUGGCGGUAGGCCUAACACAUGCAAGUCGAACGGUAGAACACUAAGAGCUUGCUCUGACGGGUUGCGAGUGGCGGACGGGAGAGGAAUACAUCGGAAUCUACUUUUUCGUGUGGGAUAACGUAGGGAAACUUAAGAUAAUACCGCAUACGACCUUCGGGUGAAAGCAGGGGAUCUUCGGACCUUGCGCGAUUGAAUGAGUCGAUGUCGGAUUAGCUAGUUGGCGGGGUAUAGGCCCACCAAGGCGACGAUCCUUAGCUGGUCUGAGAGGAUGAUCGGGCGCACUGUAACUGAGACACGGACCAGACUCCUACGGGAGGCAGGGGGGGAGAAGAUGGGACAAUGGGCGCAAGCCUGAUCCAGUGAUGCCGCGUGGGUGAGGGAGGCCUUGGGGUUUUAGAGCCGUUAUGUUGGGAAGGAAAAGCAGCAGGUGAAUACACCGCUGUUCUGAGGGUACUGAGUGAAUAAGCACCGGCUAACUACGUG